RNAcentral lists this non-coding RNA (744 nucleotides) under Kirchnerius guangxii. The record is from RNAcentral. Lineage: Eukaryota; Metazoa; Arthropoda; Insecta; Coleoptera; Lucanidae.
UAAAGUUUUAUCAUGGCUUUAAAAUUUGUGGAAUAGAGGUUUUACAUGCAGGAAUUAUUAAAGGAUUUUUUGGCAGUAAAUAAAUUUAAUUAUUAAGGAGAUUUAGAAUUAGACUUUUAUUUAAGUAUAGACUAAUCUUGUGCCAGCAGUUGCGGUUAUACAUGAUAUGCAUUCAAAUUUGAUUUGGAUAAUAAUAAUCUUUAUUUUUAAAAAAUGUAUGUUGAUUAUAUAAGGUGAAAUUUUGUAAUCAAUUGAGUUGACGGAGUGAUGAGAUAUUAUUAGAUUUUAAUUAUAAACUAGGAUUAGAUACCCUAUUAUUGGAAAUGUAAAGCUUAAUUCCAGAGAAGUAUUAGAAUUCUUGAAAUUUAAAAGAUUUGGCGGUGUUUUAGUCUGUUCAGAGGAACCUGUCCUGUAAUUGAUGAUCCACGAUUAAUUGGACUUAUUCUUUAAGUUUGUAUAUCGUCGUUAUUUGAGUAUCUUUAAAAAGGAAAAUAUUCAAUAUUUGAAAUUUUAAUUUAAAUCAGAUCAAGGUGCAGUGUACGGGUAAGUAGAGAUGGGUUACAAUAAAAAAAUUUAUAUGGUUUAAAAGGUGAAAUUUUUUAAUAAAUAGGAUUUGAUAGUAAAUAAAAUUAUUUUAUUUUUUUGAUUAGAGCUCUAGAAUAUGCACAUAUCGCCCGUCGCUCCUACUUUAAAGUAGGAUAAGUCGUAACAUAGUAGGUGUACCGGAAGGUGUACCUGGAAAGA